GGUUGCGAUCAUACCAGCACUAAUGCACCGGAUCCCAUCAGAACUCCGCAGUUAAGCGUGCUUGGGCGAGAGUAGUACUAGGAUGGGUGACCCCCUGGGAAGUCCUCGUGUUGGCAACCC
Molecule: ribosomal RNA, 120 nt
Filed under: Helianthus annuus (common sunflower)
Lineage: Eukaryota; Viridiplantae; Streptophyta; Magnoliopsida; Asterales; Asteraceae
Source: RNAcentral